UUAAAGCUUAGAUAUUACUCGAUAAACGGAACUUACAGAAUCGGCCAGAGAUUGUGUCGAUGCAGCCCUGCCAACCCGUACGAACUCGUGAAAGAAAAAGAUGUAUUGGCGAAGUCGCCGACUUGAAAGUAAAGUACGAUGAAAAAGUAGAUUGUUUGUAUUGAUUGAUGUGUUGUUUACAAAUCUCUAAAGAUAGCUAUUUAUAGCUUGUUACAACUGAUUUCCUAACCAACUAGGAUCUAUCUCUAAUUUUAAACGAAAACGAAUAUUUACAAACACAACUCGUAUCGGAGUUGGUUAUCAUACUCCUACGGGCCAAUCUUUCUCUAUCUUCUUUUUCUGGCCCACCUUAAGCCCAUAUCGGCCCAAUCGCUCCAGCCUUCCAAUCGGCCAACCUCCACCAACUCUGUCUGCCAAUCGCUUGAAACACUAUAGCACCAAUCAGCCAAUUCCCAACUGUAGCACCAAUCGGCUGAUUCCCAAUCGUAACCUUUAAAUCCGCCGCAUCGGCCAAUCCUUC
This 520-nucleotide long non-coding RNA is filed under the name Setaria viridis. Its description in RNAcentral is "long non-coding RNA (SVIR_LNC000743)". The record is from RNAcentral. Lineage: Eukaryota; Viridiplantae; Streptophyta; Magnoliopsida; Poales; Poaceae.